AGUGGAGUGGCGUCAACCACCAUCUUGGGACAACCUGUAUGGUACAUCUAGUUUUUCAUCCUUAUUUUGACAAAGGGAUUUAAGUAGAAAUUGUGAAUAGCCAGGUUCCAAUUUUUGUUUUGGAUGAUUAACCUUGGUGACUAGUGCAAGGAUAUUAAGGCCCUGAGGUGAAUAAUUGUUUCUGGCCUCUGUAGUACUAGUACAUAAACCGAAUUGCACUUUUCUGCCUUAUUUACUUUAUGAUACAUAAAAGUAUUUUGUGUCAAUAUGGUAUGAACUCAAAAUAUAAUAUUUUUUAUAUGCAAAGCAUAGUGCCAUAGAGUAGUGUCAGUGUUUUAGAUUUUUGGAAUCACGCUCUCACCCCCGAUAGAAACAGAAUAUUGAAGGCUUCUUGUAGAUGGGGUUUUAGAGCGAAAACUAUGAAUAGUAAUAAUAGUAUAAUAAUAAUAGUCUGUGUCCAUGACUCAUGGAUGAGGUCAGUGGCUUGUAAACCUCAAGAUACACCUAAUAAAACCCUUAACUACUUUUUAGCUAUCCUUUUUGUAGUUAAAAGGUAGUUAACUUUAAAGAUAUAGUUAAGUAGGUUGUAUACUGUAUAAAUCCCCGUUUACAUCAGACCUGGACGAAGUCAAACCGGAAUGCAACAUGUUUACAUGAGACCUGUACGAAAAUCACAAAAUUUUCAAUUUAUUCCCUUGCCAGGCCAUUUUCUUUUUUAGAUAGCUUUUGUUAGCAUGUGUUGUUCCAAUGUCAAGGUUACAGCUGAGACCGGUCUGAAAUGUAUUUGUGUUUACAUUCAUCCCAGUCUGAAUUCAUGCCGGUCUGAAGUCAGUCGGCUCGGUCCAGCAGGCGGAAUGACUUGAGACCUGUCUGAGUUAUUUUUGUCCUGGUCUCAUGUAAACAUCUAUUAUAGAUAAUACUAUGACCGAAACGAAAUGGUCCCGGUUUGACUUCGUUCCGGUCUCAUGUAAAGUAUCAAAGUUUCACUGUUCAAUCAUAAUUUGAAUAUUCAAAAAGUCGCUCAAAGAACAAUUAAUUUCUCCACGGUUGAUUCGCUUUAAUUAAAUUACAAAUUAAAUAUAUUCCCUUAAGUAUACUUUUCAUUAUUUUGAGUUACACAAAAGACAAAAUAUACAACUGGUAGAAAAAUGAUUUAAUGACAGUUCUAUUGUGGCCAUAAGUCGGAAACGCAAAUAAUGAUUGAACAGUGGAAUACUGUGAUAUGCAUAUUCUAAUCUUCCAGUCAGUGUAAUGAAUGCAACUGGAACGCUACCUCCAACCGGAAAUUUGAAGUCAAACUUGAAGGCCAGUCCCAGUCUUUUCACGCAUGCGAAGAGCAUGGUCAAUCCGUCAACAAGAAUAUGUAUUCUUGAAAUUCGGCUUAGUUAGUUUUAGUUUUUUCUUAUUAAAACGGCGCAUAAAAACAUUAAUAGAAAGUUUUCAGCGCUGUUAAAAAGGUUGUCAUGUAAAUUUUAAUAAAAAACUUUUUUUGUACAUUUUAAGCCGGUUUUCAAGAACACAUAUUCAUGUUGACGGACUGGUCUUCAAGUUUGGCUUCGAAUUUUCUGUUGGAGAUAGCGUUCCAAUAUAUGGACAACUUGCAUGUUAGACUAAAUUUUAAUCUAAGUAAAGAGAAGGGAAUCAAACACCACGGCUAAAAAGAACAUAAUGGAAUUAGUAAAAUUGCAAAAUUUGGUUGCGAAAUGUUGUAAAGCUUGGAGAAUAUGGUCUUGCAAAGUUUGCAAAUUUUGAAUAUGUUUGUGUUACGUGUGGAUAUUGUUACCAUUUGUGGCUCAAAAACGGUAACAAUUUCCGUACCCCUACAAACAUAUACAAAAUAUGCAAACUUCGCAAGGCUAUAUUUUCCAAGCUUUACAACAUUUCAAUGUAUAAAAGGUAAUUUUGGUAAUUUCAAUUUUACUAAUUUUAAUAAGUUCUUUACGGGAAUUUACUUUUUUGCCUAGAUCAAAAAUUAGUCUAACAUGCAACUUGUCUAUUCAGAAGGUUGAUUUAUCCAGUUCUGGAUCUAACUUAUUUAGAUCAGUGAGUGGCAACAGUAUAGAGCCUUGAUUGGGUGAUUUAGACCUGGCCUUUAAUUAGAACCCGUAUCUAGAGCCUUUAAUCUUGUUAGUGCUCAGCAGGUAAAUCUAUAAACACAUUUUGCAUAUACUAAAAUAAAUUGCGUAUAGGCUUACUUAUGUCUGUAGUAUAAUCUGAACUUUAAAUCUGAACGUUUGUUGAAAUCGCCGCGAAGAAUUAACGUUUUGUUUUUAAUUACGUUCACUUGACAUUGUAACAUUUGUAUUAAUAACGCCGAGUUUAGUUUGGGCCAUCUGGUUUUAAAAUUAGCCCUGCGCUUGCCAUUGGCUGGGCCGGUGUUCAAAUUAAAAUGUUUACUAUAAGAACAUAGCAAAAGCUGUAUAAAGCGUGUAAAACUGUGUCAGGAUUGAAUUUGGCUACAUAUAAACUGUAAUCUAUAUAUAAUCACGUUGAGAGGAUGUACGGUUAUCGAACAAGACAUUUCUACUGCAUUGGCUUGCUCUUUGCCUAUCAAAUGGUAAGCGUGACAUUGUGUGUUAAAUUUAAUAAGUUUUAAACGCGCACUUAAAAUUAUUAGUGAUUUAGCCUUUUAAUAUUUUGACUUACUUUAACGUAGA
This 2657-nucleotide long non-coding RNA is filed under the name Paramuricea clavata. The record is from RNAcentral. Lineage: Eukaryota; Metazoa; Cnidaria; Anthozoa; Malacalcyonacea; Plexauridae.